This 535-nucleotide long non-coding RNA is filed under the name Citrus maxima (pomelo). RNAcentral describes it as "long non-coding RNA (CMAX_LNC003016)". The record is from RNAcentral. Lineage: Eukaryota; Viridiplantae; Streptophyta; Magnoliopsida; Sapindales; Rutaceae.
AUUGGAUUUGAUCCAAGAUUCACAUGAUCCAAAUCCAAUUGGAUCGGAUUUGGGUCGGUUUAAAAUGAAUUUGGAUCGGAUUUGGAUAUCAAUGUGCGGAUCUAAGAUGGAUCUAGAGCAAGUCUGGAUCUAUCUUAAUAUCUAAAUCCAUAUCCAUAUCCACCAAUCUUUUAAUUUUAUUUUAUUUUAAAAGUUUCUUAACAAUUGUGGAAUUAUAAUGAUAAUAAAUUUUAUUCAUAACACAUUAGUGAUAUUUACCAUGCAUUUAAACUCUUCAAACUUAAAUGUUAGUUUUGUAAAUUUAAAGGUCAGCCAGCCCCAAAGCAUGUACAUAUAAUAUUCAAAUUGCAAGUCAAGUAAUACAACCUGAUAAUUUAUUUUAUUGUAUUGACUAAAUAAUUUUUAAGGAAUAUAGUUAUUCAUAUAUUUAGUCAAAUAUGGUUAUAAUAAAAAUAAUAAAGUACUAAAUAUAAAUCAUAUUUAAUUUAUAUGUCAUUAUCUAAUGUUGUAGGAAUGAGGGUGGGUGUGUCGUGGA